GAUUAACGCUAGCGGCAGGCAUAAUACAUGCAAGUUGAACGGGAUAAGUUGUAGCAAUACGGCUUUGAGAGUAGCGCACGGGUGCGUAACACGUAUGCAACCUGCCCUUUACUGGGGAAUAGCCUCUCGAAAGAGAGAUUAAUACCCCAUAACAUAUUUUGUAGGCAUCUAUAGAAUAUUAAAGCUACGGCGGUAAAGGAUGGGCAUGCGGCUGAUUAGGUAGUUGGUGAGGUAAUGGCUCACCAAGCCAACGAUCAGUAGGGGGUCUGAGAGGAUGUCCCCCCACACUGGUACUGAGACACGGACCAGACUCCUACGGGAGGCAGCAGUAGGGAAUAUUGGACAAUGGGCGCAAGACCUGAUCCAGCCAUGCCGCGUGCAGGAAGAAGG
This 390-nucleotide ribosomal RNA is filed under the name uncultured bacterium. Its description in RNAcentral is "bacterial SSU rRNA". It matches the Rfam family "Bacterial small subunit ribosomal RNA", at positions 28 to 414 of the family's 1533-position model. The record is from RNAcentral.